AUUGAACGCUGGCGGCAUGCCUUACACAUGCAAGUCGAACGGCAGCACGGGAGCUUGCUCCUGGUGGCGAGUGGCGAACGGGUGAGUAAUACAUCGGAACGUACCCUGAAGUGGGGGAUAACGUAGCGAAAGUUACGCUAAUACCGCAUAUUCUGUGAGCAGGAAAGAGGGGGAUCGCAAGACCUCUUGCUUUAGGAGCGGCCGAUGUCGGAUUAGCUAGUUGGUGAGGUAAAGGCUCACCAAGGCGACGAUCCGUAGCGGGUCUGAGAGGAUGAUCCGCCACACUGGGACUGAGACACGGCCCAGACUCCUACGGGAGGCAGCAGUGGGGAAUUUUGGACAAUGGGCGCAAGCCUGAUCCAGCCAUGCCGCGUGAGUGAAGAAGGCCUUCGGUGUAAGCUCUUCGUGGGAGAAUGCUCGUAUACUGAGUAGAUGACGGUACCCGCAUAAGAAGCACCGGCUAACUACGUGCCAGCAG
RNAcentral lists this ribosomal RNA (478 nucleotides) under uncultured bacterium. RNAcentral's name for it is "bacterial SSU rRNA". It matches the Rfam family "Bacterial small subunit ribosomal RNA", at positions 30 to 514 of the family's 1533-position model. The record is from RNAcentral.